RNAcentral lists this non-coding RNA (31 nucleotides) under Mus musculus (house mouse). Lineage: Eukaryota; Metazoa; Chordata; Mammalia; Rodentia; Muridae. The record is from RNAcentral.
UGGUGAUCAUUGACAUAGUUCCACUAGGCAU